This 484-nucleotide ribosomal RNA is filed under the name uncultured bacterium. Its description in RNAcentral is "partial 16S ribosomal RNA". It matches the Rfam family "Bacterial small subunit ribosomal RNA", at positions 29 to 507 of the family's 1533-position model. The record is from RNAcentral.
AUUGAACGCUGGCGGCAUGCUUUACACAUGCAAGUCGAACGGCAGCGCGGGCUUCGGCCUGGCGGCGAGUGGCGAACGGGUGAGUAAUGCAUCGGAACGUGCCCAGUAGUGGGGGAUAGCCCGGCGAAAGCCGGAUUAAUACCGCAUACGACCUGAGGGUGAAAGCGGGGGACCGAAAGGCCUCGCGCUAUUGGAGCGGCCGAUGUCGGAUUAGCUAGUUGGUGGGGUAAAGGCUUACCAAGGCGACGAUCCGUAGCUGGUCUGAGAGGACGACCAGCCACACUGGGACUGAGACACGGCCCAGACUCCUACGGGAGGCAGCAGUGGGGAAUUUUGGACAAUGGGGGCAACCCUGAUCCAGCCAUGCCGCGUGCGGGAAGAAGGCCUUCGGGUUGUAAACCGCUUUUGUUCGGGAAGAAAAGCUCUGGGCUAAUACCCCGGGGGGAUGACGGUACCGGAAGAAUAAGCACCGGCUAACUACGUG